UCCUUUACCAAUUGUGAUCGGGUGGUGAAAUGGAGUAAAAUGAAAGAAAAUAACUUGAUAACUCUUGGUGGAUGCAGUUUUUGAUGGGUUGGUUAUGAUCGAUUGAUGAAGCAAGGAAUAGUAAGGUUUCAGUCGUAAAAUCGAUUGACAUUAUGGGCUGUUUUUGCUUUUUCUUUUGAAAGAAGGAAAUUAGGCUGGGAAUCUGUAGAAAAGAACCAUGCCGGGCGUACGGACAAACGCCGCACUUCCUCAAAUUCAAACGCACUUUUACAAGUGUUUACGCGCAUUGAGGGGGUAAGGUCGGAGGAACUUCUUCGUGGCAUGCUCGUGAGGAGCGGAGGACGAAAGUCCUGCCGGGUGUACCAGAAAUUCGAUUUCAUGGGUUUGUCCUGUGAGAUCUUGAAACGCACCCGAGAAGAUGUCUUUUAGUGCAAUGUGCGGCACCUGACAAAAGUCAGGCAACUCGAUUCCGACUAAUCUUGUCUGUAUGUCUGGUAUGAUUCAUUUCUAUGGGUCGAACAAUAGUUGAUAGGUGUGUAAUAAGAAAUGUUUGGAUAGAAAGAAUACAAUGUUUUGAAUUCA
This is a non-coding RNA of Schizosaccharomyces osmophilus, 582 nucleotides long. Lineage: Eukaryota; Fungi; Ascomycota; Schizosaccharomycetes; Schizosaccharomycetales; Schizosaccharomycetaceae. The record is from RefSeq and is a predicted model, not a curated record.